This is a long non-coding RNA of Egretta garzetta (little egret), 120 nucleotides long. RefSeq lists it as uncharacterized. Lineage: Eukaryota; Metazoa; Chordata; Aves; Pelecaniformes; Ardeidae. The record is from RefSeq and is a predicted model, not a curated record. The transcript is spliced from 3 exons.
AAUUGUUAAAGUAGCGGUUAAAAAUGGCUUGGAAAUCAUAGAACUGUAGAAUCAUUUAGGUUGGAAAAGACCUUUAAGAUCAUCGAGUCCAACAGUUAACCUAACACUGCCAUCCCACCA